CGGUAAUAUUACAUUGCAACACCAGUUCUCGUUCUGUCAUCGAAGUUAAGCAACGUUAAGACCGGUCAGUACUCAAAUGAGUGAACGCUGGGGAAUACCAGGUGCUGUAAG
This is a non-coding RNA of Acanthosepion pharaonis, 111 nucleotides long. The record is from the annotation of a GenBank genome assembly. Lineage: Eukaryota; Metazoa; Mollusca; Cephalopoda; Sepiida; Sepiidae.